This 427-nucleotide ribosomal RNA is filed under the name uncultured bacterium. RNAcentral's name for it is "partial 16S ribosomal RNA". It matches the Rfam family "Bacterial small subunit ribosomal RNA", at positions 355 to 774 of the family's 1533-position model. The record is from RNAcentral.
UGGGGAAUAUUGGACAAUGGGCGAAAGCCUGAUCCAGCCAUGCCGCGUGUGUGAAGAAGGUCUUCGGAUUGUAAAGCACUUUAAGUUGGGAGGAAGGGCAUUAACCUAAUACGUUAGAGUUUUGACGUUACCGACAGAAUAAGCACCGGCUAACUCUGUGCCAGCAGCCGCGGUAAUACAGAGGGUGCAAGCGUUAAUCGGAAUUACUGGGCGUAAAGCGCGCGUAGGUGGUUUGUUAAGUUGGAUGUGAAAUCCCCGGGCUCAACCUGGGAACUGCAUUCAAAACUGACUGACUAGAGUAUGGUAGAGGGUGGUGGAAUUUCCUGUGUAGCGGUGAAAUGCGUAGAUAUAGGAAGGAACACCAGUGGCGAAGGCGACCACCUGGACUAAUACUGACACUGAGGUGCGAAAGCGUGGGGAGCAAACA